This 460-nucleotide ribosomal RNA is filed under the name uncultured bacterium. Its description in RNAcentral is "partial 16S ribosomal RNA". It matches the Rfam family "Bacterial small subunit ribosomal RNA", at positions 338 to 795 of the family's 1533-position model. The record is from RNAcentral.
CCUACGGGAGGCAGCAGUGAGGAAUAUUGGUCAAUGGGCGUAAGCCUGAACCAGCCCAGUCGCGUGAGGGAUGAAGGUUCUAUGGAUCGUAAACCUCUUUUAUAAGGGAAUAAAGUGCGGGACGUGUCCCGUUUUGUAUGUACCUUAUGAAUAAGGAUCGGCUAACUCCGUGCCAGCAGCCGCGGUAAUACGGAGGAUCCGAGCGUUAUCCGGGUUUAUUGGGUUUAAAGUGUGCGUAGGCGGCCUUUUAAGUCAGCGGGGAAAGUAGGUGGAUCACCCAUAGAAUUGCCGUUGAAACUGGGAGGGUUGAGUAUGUUUGAGGCAGGCGGAAUGCGUGGUGUAGCGGUGAAAUGCUUAGAUAUCACGCAGAACCCCGAUUGCGAAGGCAGCCUGCCAAGCCAUGACUGACGCUGAUGCACGAAAGCGUGGGGAUCAAACAGGAUUACAUACCCCUGUAGUC